GACGAACGCUGGCGGCGUGCUUAACACAUGCAAGUCGAACGGAAAGGCCCUGCUUUUGUGGGGUGCUCGAGUGGCGAACGGGUGAGUAACACGUGAGUAACCUGCCCUUGACUUUGGGAUAACUUCAGGAAACUGGGGCUAAUACCGGAUAGGAGCUCCUGCUGCAUGGCGGGGGUUGGAAAGUUUCGGCGGUUGGGGAUGGACUCGCGGCUUAUCAGCUUGUUGGUGGGGUAGUGGCUUACCAAGGCUUUGACGGGUAGCCGGCCUGAGAGGGUGACCGGCCACAUUGGGACUGAGAUACGGCCCAGACUCCUACGGGAGGCAGCAGUGGGGAAUAUUGCACAAUGGGCGGAAGCCUGAUGCAGCAACGCCGCGUGCGGGAUGACGGCCCUCGGGUUGUAAACCGCUUUCGCCUGUGACGAAGCGUGAGUGACGGUAAUGGGUAAAGAAGCACCGGCUAACUACGUGCCAGCAGCCGCGGUGAUACGUAGGGUGCGAGCGUUGUCCGGAUUUAUUGGGCGUAAAGGGCUCGUAGGUGGUUGAUCGCGUCGGAAGUGUAAUCUUGGGGCUUAACCCUGAGCGUGCUUUCGAUACGGGUUGACUUGAGGAAGGUAGGGGAGAAUGGAAUUCCUGGUGGAGCGGUGGAAUGCGCAGAUAUCAGAGAGGAACACCAGUGGCGAAGGCGGUUCUCUGGGCCUUUCCUGACGCUGAGGAGCGAAAGCGUGGGGAGCGAACAGGCUUAGAUACCCUGGUAGUCCACGCUGUAAACGGUGGGUACUAGGUGUGGGGUCCAUUCCACGGGUUCCGUGCCGUAGCUAACGCUUUAAGUACCCCGCCUGGGGAGUACGGCCGCAAGGCUAAAACUCAAAGGAAUUGACGGGGCCCCGCACAAGCGGCGGAGCAUGCGGAUUAAUUCGAUGCAACGCGUAGAACCUUACCUGGGUUUGACAUGGAUCGGGAGUGCUCAGAGAUGGGUGUGCCUCUUUUGGGGUCGGUUCACAGGUGGUGCAUGGCUGUCGUCAGCUCGUGUCGUGAGAUGUUGGGUUAAGUCCCGCAACGAGCGCAACCCUUGUUCACUGUUGCCAGCACGUUAUGGUGGGGACUCAGUGGAGACCGCCGGGGUCAACUCGGAGGAAGGUGGGGAUGACGUCAAGUCAUCAUGCCCCUUAUGUCCAGGGCUUCACGCAUGCUACAAUGGCUGGUACAGAGAGUGGCGAGCCUGUGAGGGUGAGCGAAUCUCGGAAAGCCGGUCUCAGUUCGGAUUGGGGUCUGCAACUCGACCUCAUGAAGUCGGAGUCGCUAGUAAUCGCAGAUCAGCAACGCUGCGGUGAAUACGUUCCCGGG
This 1344-nucleotide ribosomal RNA is filed under the name uncultured bacterium. RNAcentral describes it as "16S ribosomal RNA". It matches the Rfam family "Bacterial small subunit ribosomal RNA", at positions 28 to 1378 of the family's 1533-position model. The record is from RNAcentral.